UGGGGAAUAUUGGACAAUGGGCGCAAGCCUGAUCCAGCCAUGCCGCGUGUGUGAAGAAGGCCUUAGGGUUGUAAAGCACUUUCAGGGGUGAGGAAGGGUGUUUGGUUAAUAUCCAAACAUUUUGACGUUAGCCCCAGAAGAAGCACCGGCUAACUCUGUGCCAGCAGCCGCGGUAAUACAGAGGGUGCAAGCGUUAAUCGGAAUUACUGGGCGUAAAGCGCGCGUAGGUGGUUUGUUAAGUCGGAUGUGAAAUCCCAGGGCUCAACCUUGGAAUGGCACCCGAUACUGGCAGGCUAGAGUAUGGUAGAGGGGUGUGGAAUUUCCUGUGUAGCGGUGAAAUGCGUAGAUAUAGGAAGGAACAUCAGUGGCGAAGGCGACACCCUGG
Molecule: ribosomal RNA, 385 nt
Filed under: uncultured bacterium
Lineage: Bacteria
Description: bacterial SSU rRNA
Rfam family: Bacterial small subunit ribosomal RNA
Source: RNAcentral